UACGAAGGGGGCUAGCGUUGCUCGGAAUCACUGGGCGUAAAGGGUGCGUAGGCGGGUCUUUAAGUCAGGGGUGAAAUCCUGGAGCUCAACUCCAGAACUGCCUUUGAUACUGAGGGGCUCGAGUCCGGGAGAGGUGAGUGGAACUGCGAGUGUAGAGGUGAAAUUCGUAGAUAUUCGCAAGAACACCAGUGGCGAAGGCGGCUCACUGGCCCGGUACUGACGCUGAGGUGCGAAAGCGUGGGGAGCAAACAGG
Molecule: ribosomal RNA, 253 nt
Filed under: uncultured bacterium
Lineage: Bacteria
Description: partial 16S ribosomal RNA
Rfam family: Bacterial small subunit ribosomal RNA
Source: RNAcentral